AUACUUACCUGCAGGGGAGAUACUUUAAGCAUGAAGAUGGUUUUCCUAGGGUGAGGCUUGUCUAUUGCACUUCACUUAUGCUGACCCCUAAGAUUUUCCCAAAUGUGGGAAACUUGAUUGCGUGAUUUGUGGUAGUGGGGGACUGUGUUUGUGCUCUCCUCUA
Erinaceus europaeus (western European hedgehog) is the source of this 163-nucleotide non-coding RNA. The record is from Rfam. NCBI's taxonomy places the organism in Eukaryota, Metazoa, Chordata, Mammalia, Eulipotyphla, Erinaceidae.